RNAcentral lists this ribosomal RNA (800 nucleotides) under Arthrobacter sp. RNAcentral describes it as "bacterial SSU rRNA". It matches the Rfam family "Bacterial small subunit ribosomal RNA", at positions 80 to 890 of the family's 1533-position model. The record is from RNAcentral. Lineage: Bacteria; Bacillati; Actinomycetota; Actinomycetes; Micrococcales; Micrococcaceae.
UUGCACCGGGGAUUAGUGGCGAACGGGUGAGUAACACGUGAGUAACCUGCCCUUAACUCUGGGAUAAGCCUGGGAAACUGGGUCUAAUACCGGAUAUGACUCCUCAUCGCAUGGUGGGGGGUGGAAAGCUUUAUUGUGGUUUUGGAUGGACUCGCGGCCUAUCAGCUUGUUGGUGAGGUAAUGGCUCACCAAGGCGACGACGGGUAGCCGGCCUGAGAGGGUGACCGGCCACACUGGGACUGAGACACGGCCCAGACUCCUACGGGAGGCAGCAGUGGGGAAUAUUGCACAAUGGGCGCAAGCCUGAUGCAGCGACGCCGCGUGAGGGAUGACGGCCUUCGGGUUGUAAACCUCUUUCAGUAGGGAAGAAGCGAAAGUGACGGUACCUGCAGAAGAAGCGCCGGCUAACUACGUGCCAGCAGCCGCGGUAAUACGUAGGGCGCAAGCGUUAUCCGGAAUUAUUGGGCGUAAAGAGCUCGUAGGCGGUUUGUCGCGUCUGCCGUGAAAGUCCGGGGCUCAACUCCGGAUCUGCGGUGGGUACGGGCAGACUAGAGUGAUGUAGGGGAGACUGGAAUUCCUGGUGUAGCGGUGAAAUGCGCAGAUAUCAGGAGGAACACCGAUGGCGAAGGCAGGUCUCUGGGCAUUAACUGACGCUGAGGAGCGAAAGCAUGGGGAGCGAACAGGAUUAGAUACCCUGGUAGUCCAUGCCGUAAACGUUGGGCACUAGGUGUGGGGGACAUUCCACGUUUUCCGCGCCGUAGCUAACGCAUUAAGUGCCCCGCCUGGGGAGUACGGCCGCA